UGAACUUACAGAGUUUAUUAAUGAGAAUUUUACUCAUGGCCUAUUGAAUGAGAACAAAGACCUUUAUCAGAUGGAAAGCUAAAUUGUUGGUUUGCAUUAUCGAGGAAAGAUGGUGAGAGGAAAAAGGAUUUACGUCUUCAUUUUAUAAAUGAACUACCAUCAAGCCUAGUUAAAGGCAAUGAGGUUAAGGGUGAGAGAGGGGCUCGUAUUCAUGUUGUCUUGGUAGAUUCCAGGACAGGUAGUGUUGUGCAAUCUGGACGCCCAUCAAAGCUAGAGUUGACGGUGACGGUGAUUGGAGGUGACUUUGACGGAGAAGCUGGCAAAAAUUGGACUAGAGAGUUCUUUGAGAGCCAUGAAAAUAAAAUAAUGGGGCAGGAGGGGAAGAUGCCGCUCUUGAAUGGUGAUCUCUCUGUGCUUCUCGAUGAAGGUAUGGGGACAUUGGGAGCUAUCACUUUUAAUGACGUAUCAAUCGGGAUAGGAAGUGGCAAAUUCAGGCUUGGAGUCAAAACUAAGGAGGUUUAUUGUGAAGGAAUUCGUGUUUAUGAGGGCACGUCCAAUGCCUUCGCUGUGGAAGAUGUGCCGGCAGCCCCAUUUCCUCCUCCAAGGCAGCUGCAGCGG
This is a long non-coding RNA of Eucalyptus grandis, 618 nucleotides long. RefSeq lists it as uncharacterized. NCBI's taxonomy places the organism in Eukaryota, Viridiplantae, Streptophyta, Magnoliopsida, Myrtales, Myrtaceae. The record is from RefSeq and is a predicted model, not a curated record. The transcript is spliced from 3 exons.